Small nuclear RNA from Otolemur garnettii (small-eared galago), 62 nucleotides. Its record names the gene U7. It matches the Rfam family "U7 small nuclear RNA". From Rfam's summary of the family: Animal histone pre-mRNAs are spliced by a different mechanism than nuclear pre-mRNAs and self-splicing introns. This processing involves the U7 snRNP, which contains only one RNA species: U7. The record is from Ensembl. Lineage: Eukaryota; Metazoa; Chordata; Mammalia; Primates; Galagidae.
CAGUAUCACAGCUCUUUUAGAAUUUGUCUAGCAGGUUUUCCAGUAGCCACCGAAAGACCUAA